Molecule: long non-coding RNA, 240 nt
Filed under: Malus domestica (apple)
Lineage: Eukaryota; Viridiplantae; Streptophyta; Magnoliopsida; Rosales; Rosaceae
Description: long non-coding RNA (MDOM_LNC013664)
Source: RNAcentral
GCUCCAGAUUGGCGAGGAGAGGGAAGGAGUCCGAGAAGAAGGAGAGCGGGCCGGCGGGGAAGGUGGAAAUGACUUGGCGCACACGUGGCGCGGCGGUGGAGGGCCACGUGGAGUGGCAGAUGUUGGCCCAGAGUGGCUGGUGGGAGGCUAGCGCUUGGAGUUCGGAGGAGGUGCAGGCGGCGGAGGCGAGCGUGGGGCCGUCGAGGCGGGUGAGGAUGUGGGUUUGGAUUAUGUCCGGAU